Molecule: RNase P RNA, 332 nt
Filed under: Variovorax sp.
Lineage: Bacteria; Pseudomonadati; Pseudomonadota; Betaproteobacteria; Burkholderiales; Comamonadaceae
Description: RNase P RNA component class A
Rfam family: Bacterial RNase P class A
About the family: Ribonuclease P (RNase P) is a ubiquitous endoribonuclease, found in archaea, bacteria and eukarya as well as chloroplasts and mitochondria. Its best characterised activity is the generation of mature 5'-ends of tRNAs by cleaving the 5'-leader elements of precursor-tRNAs.
Source: RNAcentral
GAAGCACGCCAGACCGCCGCUGGUGCAAUUCCCGAAAGGGAGCACUGGAGGAACGUCCGGACUGCACAGGACAGCGCAGGAGCUAACGGCUCCCCACCGUGAGGUGAGGAUCAGAGCAACAGAGACGAGUCGGUGAAGGGGCAACCCCGAUCCGGGUGAAACGGGCAAUCUCUGCGCGCAGCAACACCAAGUAGGCCAGUUUCGAGGUGGUUCCGCUGAGCUGGCGGGUAGGUGGCAUCGAGCCGUCCGGGCGACCGGCGGCCCAGAGUAAUGGCGGUCACGUUGGGGGCAACCUCAACGCACAGAAUCCGGCUUAUCGGCGCGCUUCACAC